GUAGAUAGCAUCUAAAGCUCCGCAGAUGUCCAUAAAUAUCAUCAAACUCCAAACUGCAUCCAUAUAAGUAGCAAAAACAGCGUCACGGGUACAGUACGCGCGCAACAUCUUACAACACAGAUCAAAAUCAAACAGCAGUACAAGAAAAUCGUAUGCUGCAUCUGCAUCACUGUUGUAGGGCAAAGCUAUUCGGCUACUCCCAUCAAAGAGUUCAAGACCAAACAAGGCAGCCAUAAUAACACAAGGCAAUUGGUGGCAUAUUGGUGCUGCACCACAAAAAGGGAGUCGUGAUAGAUGCCUCCCGACAAACUCGAACCACUUGCUAGC
RNAcentral lists this long non-coding RNA (327 nucleotides) under Setaria italica (foxtail millet). RNAcentral describes it as "long non-coding RNA (SITA_LNC003363)". The record is from RNAcentral. Lineage: Eukaryota; Viridiplantae; Streptophyta; Magnoliopsida; Poales; Poaceae.